This 254-nucleotide ribosomal RNA is filed under the name uncultured bacterium. Its description in RNAcentral is "partial 16S ribosomal RNA". It matches the Rfam family "Bacterial small subunit ribosomal RNA", at positions 524 to 776 of the family's 1533-position model. The record is from RNAcentral.
UACGGGGGGAGCAAGCGUUGUUCGGAUUUACUGGGCGUAAAGGGCGCGUAGGCGGUCAGCACAAGUCAGUUGUGAAAUCCCCGGGCUUAACCUGGGAAUGGCAUUUGGGACUGCAAGGCUUGAGUGCGGCAGAGGAGACUGGAAUUCCCGGUGUAGCAGUGAAAUGCGUAGAUAUCGGGAGGAAUACCGAUGGCGAAGGCAGGUCUCUGGGCUGACACUGACGCUCAUGCACGAAAGCGUGGGGAGCAAACGGG